ACCAGGUCUGUGAAUCCAGAUCGGGGACCGUGCAGUGGUGGGCAGUUUGACUGGGCGGUCUCCUCCUAAAGCGUAACGGAGGAGUACGAAGGUCACCUAGGUACGGUCGGACAUCGUACUGAUAGUGCAAUGGCAAAAGGUGGCUUGACUGCGAGACCCACAAGUCGAGCAGGUGCGAAAGCAGGUCAUAGUGAUCCGGUGGUUCUGUAUGGAAGGGCCAUCGCUCAACGGAUAAAAGGUACUCUGGGGAUAACAGGCUGAUUCCGCCCAAGAGUUCACAUCGACGUCGGAGUUUGGCACCUCGAUGUCGGCUCAUCACAUCCUGGGGCUGUAGCCGGUCCCAAGGGUAUGGCUGUUCGCCAUUUAAAGUGGUACGUGAGCUGGGUUUAAAACGUCGUGAGACAGUUUGGUCCCUAUCUGCCGUGGGGCGCUGGAAGUUUGAGAGGGCUUGCUCCUAGUACGAGAG
Molecule: ribosomal RNA, 466 nt
Filed under: uncultured bacterium
Lineage: Bacteria
Description: bacterial LSU rRNA
Rfam family: Bacterial large subunit ribosomal RNA
Source: RNAcentral